This 74-nucleotide transfer RNA is filed under the name Acidimicrobiia bacterium. RNAcentral's name for it is "tRNA-Val". It matches the Rfam family "tRNA". Rfam says of the family: Transfer RNA (tRNA) molecules are approximately 80 nucleotides in length. Their secondary structure includes four short double-helical elements and three loops (D, anti-codon, and T loops). The record is from RNAcentral. Lineage: Bacteria; Bacillati; Actinomycetota; Acidimicrobiia.
GGGCGCAUAGCUCAGCUGGUCAGAGCGCUUCCCUUACAAGGAAGAUGCCGGGGGUUCGAGUCCCUCUGCGCCCA